GGAUUAGGCAUGCAAGUCGAACGAGGAAGUGCCCCGUAACGUCAAGCUAGUGGCGAAAGGUGAGUAAUGCAUUGAUAACCUGCCUUUGAGAUGGGAAUAACUGCGUUUCGAGCAAUCGGAACUACCGAAAGGGCUGCUAAUACCCAAUAAUACUAUAGGUGCAAAAGCACUUGUGGUCAAAUGCUAGGAAUUCUGUUCCUUGUGCUUAAAGAGGGGUUAAUGUCCUAUCAGCUAGUUGGUGGGGUAAUGGCCUACCAAGGCAAAGACGGGUAGCCGGCUUGAGAGGGUGGUCGGCCACACUGGGACUGAGACACUGCCCAGACUCCUACGGGAGGCUGCAGUCGAGAAUCUUUCGCAAUGCCCAAUAGGUGACGAAGCGACGCCGCGUGUGGGAAGAAGGCCUUCGGGUUGUAAACACUGUCGGAGUUAGGAAAUGCAGGUGCGUUAAUAGCGCACUUGCUUGACUAAGGCUCCAGAGGAAGCCACGGCUAACUCUGUGCCAGCAUGCCGCGGUAAUACAGAGGCGGCAAGCGUUGUUCGGAAUUAUUGGCGUAAA
RNAcentral lists this ribosomal RNA (556 nucleotides) under uncultured bacterium. RNAcentral describes it as "bacterial SSU rRNA". It matches the Rfam family "Bacterial small subunit ribosomal RNA", at positions 46 to 564 of the family's 1533-position model. The record is from RNAcentral.